CGUUGUUUUUAGCGUCCGAUUCGAUUUUUGUUUUGACAAAUCAAACCGGUGUGAAAAAAAAUCCGUCACCGAAAUUUCAGAAUUCAGCUAUCUGAAUGGGUUUGCUUGACCUCUGCAUAAUCGUAAUCCAUUGAGCAUUGAUGAUGCAAAAGGAAAGCAACAUACGGGUGGUUCCUGAACAAUCGCUUUCAAGUCACGUUAACUUGGCAGCUGCAAUUACGGCUACGGAAAGAUGUCACGGAUGAAACCAACGCUGUAUUUGGUGUCUAUUCCAAAUGUCCAUAUACACGAUGAUGGCUGUUCCGGUGAAGCGUUGUUAGCGAUAGGAACGAAGAUAACGAUAUGCUUAAUGAGGUGGUUUGCGCGAAAGAUUUGCAAUGUAGAGUCCAGCAAAAGCAGUUCAAUACCAACAGAAAAUCAUCCGGAAUUCGGAUUCAAUCAUCGAACCCAUCUACAAGCGCGAAUUUCGAGCUACAUAUCAUUAACAUAUUGGCGAAAAUUAUUAAAAAGAUUUUGAAAGUAGUGCAGGUAACUCUAAAAAACAUGUAAUAUUAAAUCUUAAAUUAUUAUUAUCAGAAAUGGACAAAAGUAAAAACAUGGAAUAAAACA
RNAcentral lists this long non-coding RNA (609 nucleotides) under Aedes aegypti (yellow fever mosquito). Its description in RNAcentral is "lncRNA AAEL027284". The record is from RNAcentral. Lineage: Eukaryota; Metazoa; Arthropoda; Insecta; Diptera; Culicidae.